GAAAUGCGAUAAGUAAUGUGAAUUGCAGAAUUCAGUGAAUCAUCGAAUCUUUGAACGCACCUUGCGCUCCUUGGUAUUCCUUGGAGCAUGCCUGCUCGAGCGUCAUUUCAACCCUCAGAACCCCUUGCGGGAUCUGGCGUUGGGGAUUGGCAUCCAGCCAGCCCCGAAAUCUAGUGGCGGUCCCUCCGCGACCUCCCCUGUGCAGUAGCGAUACCUCGCAGCGGGACAGCGGUCUGACCACGCCGUAAAACCCCCAACUUCUCAAGGUUGACCUCGAAUCAGGUAGGAAUACCCGCUGAACUUAAGC
Molecule: unclassified non-coding RNA, 307 nt
Filed under: plant metagenome
Description: partial contains 5.8S ribosomal RNA, internal transcribed spacer 2, and large subunit ribosomal RNA
Rfam family: 5.8S ribosomal RNA (bases 1-105)
Source: RNAcentral